Molecule: ribosomal RNA, 370 nt
Filed under: Calepitrimerus rubi
Lineage: Eukaryota; Metazoa; Arthropoda; Arachnida; Trombidiformes; Eriophyidae
Description: partial small subunit ribosomal RNA
Source: RNAcentral
CUUGCCAAAAGGCAAGAGUGACGGGCGAUAUGUGCAUAAACUAUAGCUUUUUCAGAUAAAAUUUUUAACUUUCUCUUUUUUUUAAGUCCUUUUUCCUAAUUUUUUCAUUCAUUAAUUCAAAUUUAUAAAUCAGUGUAUCCCAAUUAUGCUUACCUAUAAUCUUUGUAUUGAUUUGUUUUUUGACUGUCAAAAGUUUUUUAAAUUUUAGUCUUUUAACUUCUUUUUGUAACAAUAAUAUAAAGAAUAAUAAAGUGAGUUCUUUCAUAUCGUGGGUUAUCGAUUAUAAAUCAGGAUCCCCUAAUUAGUUAGAUUACCGCCAUAUUUUUUAGGUUUCUUUUAUUUAAAUACUACCUUAAAUUAAAAAAUAAAA